AAAUUGCAAGGAGACGCCGCCGCCUUCAUGCUGCCGGCGGACUGCUCGCGCCGGCUGGUGGCCGAGCUGCAGGGAGCCCUGGACGCCUGCGCACAGCGACAAUUGCAAUUGGAGCAGAGCCUGCGCGUUUGCCGUCGGCUGCUGCAUGCCUGGGAACCAACUGGGACCCGGGCUUUGAAGCCACGUCCAGGGCCAGAAACUAAUGAAGAGGACCCCCUUCCAGGUAAACCUCCACCACCCACCUUCUCCAGGUGCUGCUCUGGCCUGUCUGCUGGCUUGCAGUUGUGAGGAACCCUCCUGGGGGACAGUGGGGAGAGAUCCCUGCAUAAUUCUUGGCUUUCACAGCAUGCACACCUAGUCCACAAGACCUCAAAGAGUUGGAGUUUCUGACCCAGGCACUGGAGAAGGCUGUACGAGUUCGAAGAGGCAUCACUAAGGCUGGAGAAAGAGACAAGGCCCCCAGCCUGAAAUCUAGGCCCAUUGUCACCUCUUCUGGCACGACAGUCUCCGCCCCACCCCAUUCCCCAGGCCAAGCUGGUGGCCAUGCUUCAGACAGGAGACCCACCAAGGGCCUCUGCCAGA
Molecule: small RNA, 582 nt
Filed under: Pan troglodytes (chimpanzee)
Lineage: Eukaryota; Metazoa; Chordata; Mammalia; Primates; Hominidae
Description: retained intron
Source: RNAcentral